RNAcentral lists this transfer RNA (60 nucleotides) under Dipodomys ordii (Ord's kangaroo rat). It matches the Rfam family "tRNA", at positions 7 to 64 of the family's 71-position model. From Rfam's summary of the family: Transfer RNA (tRNA) molecules are approximately 80 nucleotides in length. Their secondary structure includes four short double-helical elements and three loops (D, anti-codon, and T loops). Further hydrogen bonds mediate the characteristic L-shaped molecular structure. tRNAs have two regions of fundamental functional importance: the anti-codon, which is responsible for specific mRNA codon recognition, and the 3' end, to which the tRNAs corresponding amino acid is attached (by aminoacyl-tRNA synthetases). tRNAs cope with the degeneracy of the genetic code in two manners: having more than one tRNA (with a specific anti-codon) for a particular amino acid; and 'wobble' base-pairing, i.e. permitting non-standard base-pairing at the 3rd anti-codon position. The record is from Rfam by way of RNAcentral. Lineage: Eukaryota; Metazoa; Chordata; Mammalia; Rodentia; Heteromyidae.
GUGGCUCAGUGGUAGAGUGCUUGCCUGGUAUGCAUGAGGCCCUGGGUUCAAUUUCUCAGC